UGAAUUCGACUUUUCGCUCGGCGAGCAGAGUUUUGACGCUGUUUAUGGAGAUGAAAGGAAAUAAAGACAAGCUUGCCAUAUAUGGUUGUGUAGAUAAAUUAUCGUAGAAGACAUAGAAACAAGUGCCUGUGAGUAGAAACCCUCAAGAGGUCAACAAUAUUAGCACAUGGCUAACCGCAAGUAAAGGACAGAGGCAAAGCAAAUGUGUCAGACAUCAAUGAUUGAUCCUUAUAGGCUUUCAUACAGUAGAAACCCUCAAGAGAUGACUUUAAACUCUGUGCACCACCUGACCGCAGUCAAUUAUAGUGUCUACAGACUUUGCCGUAAAAGCACUUUAGGCU
Molecule: long non-coding RNA, 341 nt
Organism: Saccostrea echinata
Lineage: Eukaryota; Metazoa; Mollusca; Bivalvia; Ostreida; Ostreidae
Exons: 5
Source: RefSeq, a predicted model, not a curated record